CCUACGGGAGGCUGCAGUGGGGAAUAUUGGACAACGGGGGGAACCCUGAUCCAGCCAUGCCGCGUGUGUGAAGAAGGCCCUCGGGUUGUAAAGCACUUUCAGUGAGGAAGAACGCCUGGUGGUUAAUACCCAUCAGGAAAGACAUCACUCACAGAAGAAGCACCGGCUAACUCCGUGCCAGCAGCCGCGGUAAUACGGAGGGUGCGAGCGUUAAUCGGAAUUACUGGGCGUAAAGCGCGCGUAGGUGGCUUGAUAAGCCGGUUGUGAAAGCCCCGGGCUCAACCUGGGAACGGCAUCCGGAACUGUCAAGCUAGAGUGCAGGAGAGGAAGGUAGAAUUCCCGGUGUAGCGGUGAAAUGCGUAGAGAUCGGGAGGAAUACCAGUGGCGAAGGCGGCCUUCUGGACUGACACUGACACUGAGGUGCGAAAGCGUGGGUAGCAAACAGGAUUAGAUACCCCUGUAGUC
Molecule: ribosomal RNA, 465 nt
Filed under: Vreelandella stevensii
Lineage: Bacteria; Pseudomonadati; Pseudomonadota; Gammaproteobacteria; Oceanospirillales; Halomonadaceae
Description: partial 16S ribosomal RNA
Rfam family: Bacterial small subunit ribosomal RNA
Source: RNAcentral